This is a long non-coding RNA of Oncorhynchus tshawytscha (Chinook salmon), 1188 nucleotides long. The record is from Ensembl. NCBI's taxonomy places the organism in Eukaryota, Metazoa, Chordata, Actinopteri, Salmoniformes, Salmonidae.
CAUGGGUUGGGCGCAUCUAAUUUGUGUUGCUAAACAACCAACCCAUCUAUAGAGCCUCUACAAGAUCUAACUUUGAGAAACGUGGACGUAUACAAAACCAGUCCUUGCAGUUCAGCGAUGGCGGCCAUGACAGUUCCAUCCGGGUACUCCGUUGCUGAUUGACUGAGGUUGGUGAGGCAUCUAAAGCGGAUGAAUAUGGAUUACCUGCUAGACUCGAUUCAAGAACUGUUCGAGCAUUUAGAAAAUCAUUUUUCUAUGCGACCGACUGAUUCAGAAUAGGCAAAUUCAUAUGAAGACAAUGUUCAAAGGCCCGUGUUCCACAUUCCAUCUGUUUCGCUAAAUUAUCAUGGUCGUGCUUCCCAUCCGAAACAGUUCCUGCAUAUAUUAUCACGACACUUUGUGACGUUUUGGUCUUCUGCAAUGUUUUUUUCCCGGCUGUUCCUGCCCUAGCACUAGAAUGAAUAGAACGAUUAUCCCCAUUCAAUUGAAUUAUGCAUAAUGGGUGGACUGGCGGCCAUUGCAAGCGUACCCAUAGUAGCAAAGCAGGAAGUGUACCCAUCAAUUUGGUCUGUGAUAUGUUUUAACAGCUCAACGGACAUAAAAUAAAAUACUUUCCAUUGCUGGAGCCACAUCAGUUAGCAUAAGUUCAAUUAACAUUCUCCAGUACCAUGUAAAUUAUUGCGUCACGAUACCAGGCAGCCAUUGCAAGAGUACCCAUGAUGUUCCAUGUCGUUUCUAUUCAUUAAAUUUCUAUGGUUUGUGCCACCAUUUUUCUUUCCAAGCAAGCGGAAGUUUGAGGGCUCCUUCAACCAAACGUUUGUUGUAUUUGAAGGAGAGACUCGUUUUCAUGAACAUGUUUUCACUUGAGAAAUACUGCACCAAACAUCUUGGUUAGUUGUAAAAUUGCGCGACUAAAACCUCCUAGACAAAAACAAUGAAUUCAGACUAUUUUGAGGAAGUGUAAACAGGCUACGGCGCAUCAAGAGGGACAAACAGUACUAUUGCCGACGUGCGCCUAUUUGUCGAUUGCAUGAACUUCACAAAAAUGUGAUCAGUUGAUUUUUUUUAUUGCAUUGCGCGAACAUUGUACAAAACAAUAUACAGAUAUCACAAAUAACAAAAAAUACAUAAAAUAAAUCCAGAGACACAAAAAAAGUUAUGCUUUUGACAAGUUACAUUUUUACAAAC